AUACAGGGGGUGCGAGCGUUAAUCGGAAUUACUGGGCGUAAAGAGUACGUAGGCGGUUGCUUAAGUCAGAUGUGAAAGCCCCGGGCUCAACCUGGGAACUGCAUUUGAAACUGAGUGACUAGAGUUUAAGAGAGGGGAGUAGAAUUCCGGGUGUAGCGGUGAAAUGCGUAGAGAUCCGGAGGAAUACCAGUGGCGAAGGCGGCUCCCUGGCUUAAAACUGACGCUGAGGUACGAAAGCGUGGGUAGCAAAUAGGAUUAGAAACCCUAGUAGUCC
RNAcentral lists this ribosomal RNA (274 nucleotides) under uncultured bacterium. RNAcentral describes it as "partial 16S ribosomal RNA". It matches the Rfam family "Bacterial small subunit ribosomal RNA", at positions 523 to 796 of the family's 1533-position model. The record is from RNAcentral.